Molecule: long non-coding RNA, 1631 nt
Filed under: Numida meleagris (helmeted guineafowl)
Lineage: Eukaryota; Metazoa; Chordata; Aves; Galliformes; Numididae
Description: lncRNA (ENSNMEG00000010887.1)
Source: RNAcentral
AAGAAGAGUCUGAGCCCCAGUGCUGCACCCUGCUCUUCCCAGGGAAACAUAUUUAGUGCUAGCAACUGGUUGUAAUUUCUCACUGGACUAAGUAGGAGUGUGAGGGUGGCACAUGCCACAGUAUUGCACAUGCUGAGAAACUGACAAGGACCAGGAUGCCCUCUGAAUUUUCAUACCCAGGAGCUGUAUGUCGGACCACUUCAUGCUCUUUUCUCACAGACACAGCUGCUGGGUUUAUUCAAGCAACUAUGCGGAAAACCUUUUCAAUGUGUUUAUGGAUGCAUGGACAUUCCGUUCUGAAAUGGAACAUCCAGAAGCCUAUCUGUAUGUGGGAUUACCUCAUUCAGUGUGUGUAAGAGCAUAAAUGGAUUGAAUGUCAGCUUGUCUGGAAUCUCUAGUGGUCCCUGGCUUCAAGCCCCCUCUUCAAAGACUUUGUCAUGCGCAAAAUGGCUGUGGAAUCCUGAGGAUAGAAGGGAAUCCAAGAUUUGGAUGUGACUGGCUGUAAGGGGAAGAAAUGAUGCCAGCAGAUCAGCCUGAAGAGGCAGCAUGGACUGGUGUUCCUGUAUUACUUUGGAAUUUUAAAAUUAUUUUAUGUAACAAAAUCAGAUGCCAGGAACAUUAGUAUUGCCUGAAGGUCUCAGCAGCUUCUGUACUAACUGGUUGAGGUUUAUCCUGUUUAUGUCUGUUUGGAUAAAGCACAAUGCCAUCGUUAAGAGUCAAGAAUGUAAGCCAAACCUCUGGAGGAGGUUUUGAGCCAAAAUUCCUGGGGGAUGAGGAGGGGAGAGGCAGCAUGAAGAUGCUGAACUGUGCAAAGUGACCUCACUUCCUGUGGCAAAACUCUGCCCCUAAUGGGAAUGUCUGCCAGAGCUGGAGGAAUCAAGGUUUUCCUCCCAGUCAAACAGCAGGACUUAUCAUCGGCCUUGCUGCUGGCAGUAGGGGAGACAGGUUUAUCUAUAGUAGGGCAAGCAGCAGAGACAGGCAGAUGCCAAGGUCUUGAUGCCAAGGAAUAUCUAAGGGUGAAUGUGGUAGCACUUUAAAAAGAAAAGCAAUCAGGAAUUACGAAAUGAACUGUGUAACAGUAAAUCUGACAUCCAUAUCAGGCCUACUAUUGCUGAAAAAUAACAUUCUAGUAUAGAUGUUAAGUUUUCAAGCUGUGUUUUCAGGUAUAUUGGGGGACAGAUAACAUAUCUAUUGUAAAAGAAGCCUUGUGAUGCAAAUCUAUUAGAUUGAAGGAGUAUGUUAAUAAGAUUCUGGUGAUAUAGAUAUGCAAAAACUACAGAAAUAUUUAAGACUUAAAAGUUUUUGACUAAAAUUCUUCAUUAAAUGCUCUUUUAGAAACAAUGUUGGUCAUGGACUGAAAGAGAUGGUCCUUUUCUGGCUUAGUAACUGAUUUAUGGAUAGGAAGAAAAGGGUUAGAACAAAUCUGAAGGGAAGGCAUUAGUGACAGUGGGGAUUAUGCUGCUCUGCAUGUCUGUGGGUGUUCUGGAAAAGAGAUGAAAAGUGAGGUGACAAAACUUGGUGAUGAGAGAAAAGUAUUUGCCAUAGUCAAACAAGAAUCCAGCUGAGAAAUAGGAAUCUUAAAUCAGUGAGUGACUGGGAAAUAAAGUGACAGUGGAAAGUCUGUGUUGACA